This 64-nucleotide long non-coding RNA is filed under the name Bos indicus x Bos taurus (hybrid cattle). Its description in RNAcentral is "lncRNA (ENSBIXG00000004942.1)". The record is from RNAcentral. Lineage: Eukaryota; Metazoa; Chordata; Mammalia; Artiodactyla; Bovidae.
ACCAGACAAGCCACAUGUGGGAGUGUCCACCCCACUGAAUGCCCCAGGCAAGGGCUAUCAGAUG